Molecule: non-coding RNA, 70 nt
Organism: Dipodomys ordii (Ord's kangaroo rat)
Lineage: Eukaryota; Metazoa; Chordata; Mammalia; Rodentia; Heteromyidae
Source: Rfam
GUGGCUGGCUCAGUGGUAGAGUGUUUGCCUUGCAUGCAUGAGGCUUUGAGUUCAAUUCCUCAGGACCACA